This is a long non-coding RNA of Cercocebus atys (sooty mangabey), 3315 nucleotides long. RefSeq lists it as uncharacterized. NCBI's taxonomy places the organism in Eukaryota, Metazoa, Chordata, Mammalia, Primates, Cercopithecidae. The record is from RefSeq and is a predicted model, not a curated record. The transcript is spliced from 4 exons.
CCAGCCUGACCAAUUCAACAAACACAUUUUGUUUUUUUGAUUUUACUGACCAGCCUCCGGUUUGGGAGGGUGAUGUUCAGCAGGAGCACGGUGCUCGAUAUGUGUUUGUUGAAUGAAUCGAUCCUCAUUAUGACCUUACAGGGCUGGGGUGAUCAUCCUUAUUUUACUGACCAGGAAAUCCCACUCCCAGAGAGGCUGCGCUUCAGGGCCAGGGUGACACGAGGAGAGGGCGCAGGGUGAAGUCCGGAGCUCAGGGCUUCUUGACUCUAAGCCCUAAACCUCCACCUCCACCAGGCCCAGGACUGGGACAUGGGGCUGACUCAGUCUGGGGUGUCAUUGGCAACCAGGAUGUUGCUGAGCAUGGCAGGAGUGAAGGCAGGACCCAGAUGCACGGAGGUGCAAUUGGGCCUCAGCUAAUCUUCAUUGUGCCGCAAGGAUCCAAGCUGCUCUGUCUUUCGCUUAGAGCUCUCUCGAAUAUUUGAAGUCAGUUUUCUUGUAGCUUUUCUAGAAUUGUCUUUUAUCCAGGUUAAGCAUCUCCUGUUCCUCCCAUAACAUAAGUCUUUGGGAAAGACACCAGUUCUCUACAAUGCUUCCAGAAUGUGGGACCCAGAGCUCCUUCUGGCACUAAGGUUAACUGCCCCAUGGACAGCUGAGUGGAUUUGUCACCUCCCUACUCCAUGAUCUGUAUCAGUGUGGCCAAGAUUGCUUUCAAGCCACCCCAUGGACAUCUGAUUGAAACCCUCAGUCUGGUUCCCGUGGCUGUCAGGCUCCCUUGCUCCCAGCACCUCCUUGCUCUGAUCUUGGACAUGAACUGUUGGCUUUCUUGGAUAGUGCAGGAUUCUUCAUCUGUCCCUGUUGCCUUUUGUUUUUACCUCUCUGGGAGUCCAGCUCGCCUCCUUCAGUAGUUACCCCACUUUCUCUUUUGCACGUGUGAAGAGCUGCUUCUAGGUACCUUGAAUCAGGUGCCACUGAGAACAUGGAACAGGACCAGGGUGAUUGUGUGUCACGAAGAGGUACAACAGGGAAGAGGGCAAUCAUGGUCCCUGCCUUAGUGGAUCUUACGGGAUCUUGGAGGCACAGAUAACAAACACCGGAAUCUGAAAAUUAUCCUUUGAGGAAGGCUGAGCAAGGAUUAAUUCCCCUAUUUUACAGCAAACAGAACGUGAGCCCCCCAAGGACGGAGCAACUCCUGGACCCCACUGGAUCAACAAGGCUCGUUCUUCUGGAUCUCAGAUGCCAUGGCGCAUUCUUUCAAAGGACGGUUAUAGAAACAAGCAGAUCAUUUCCCCAAAAAGGCCCACCGAUGGAAAAGUACGUCACUUAGGAGGUCCUGCUAUGAUCCUGCUAUGUUACCUAAGCUGGUCUUGAACUCCUGGCCUCAAGCCAUCCUCCUGCCUCAGCCUCCCAAAGUGCCAAGAUUACAGGCAUGAGCCACUGCACACCCAGCAUGCCAUGUGACAUCUGAGGCUAGUUUAUAAGAAUGUUGUGAGCUUCCACCGGGCUUUCAUGGACAGGAUGCUAACUCUUGGAACUCAGCCACCAUGUUGUGAGGAAGUCCAAGUCAUCCCACAUGGAGAGGCGUGUGAAGGUGCUCUAGCUCACAGCCCAGCUGAGGUCCCGGCUGACAGCCUGCAUCAGCUGCCAGGCAUGAGUGAAGAUGCUUCCAGAUGAUUCUAGCUCCCUCUCAUCAGAUCACUCUCAACUUGGAUUCUUCCCAGCAGAGGCUCCAGAAAUCAUAGAGCAGAGAUCACCUCUUCCUGCUCUGCUUUGUCCAAGUUAUGGGCUGUAAAAUCUAUGAGCAUGAUAACAUGAUUGUUUUACGCCAGAAAGUUUUGGGGGUGGUUUGUGACAUAGCAACUGGUACAGAAAUUAUUUGCUAACAAGCAGGCAUCUCUCUCAAGGGGGAAAGUCUUAUGGUCAUUUUUGCACCCUUUUCUGGGGCAAAUAUGAUUGGUAGGGACGAUGCCCAUCAUAGCACCAUUGCUUCAUCAGAGGCCGUUUGGAUCAGUGAGCCUUUCCAUGUUCUUUAGUCACAAUAUGUUAAUAUAUUUUACUAGUCCAUUUCCUACCGACUAGAAUAUCAGUUCCCUAUGAUAGGUUUUUCCCCCAUUUUGUUUGUUCCUAUAUCCCCAAAACCCAAACUAGUACAGGUGCUCCUCAACUUAUGAUGCAGUUACCUCCCAAUAAACCCACCAUAAAGUUGAAAAAUCCUAAGUUGAACCAUCUUAAGUUGAGGACCAUUUGUGCUUGGUAAUCGCUCAAUAAAUAAUUGUCAGAUGAAUGGUUACAAAACAAGCAUCAAGUGGGCAAACGUUUUGAUAAUGAUUCCUGGAGAGAAUUUUGCUAAUAUUGCCAUGUUCUAGUUGUUAUGAUAAUGUGAAAUUGCUUUCUGGGUAAGGACAAGUUCACAUUGUGGUGGGAAUUUCUGGAGAAUAAUAGUUAAAUGUUCCCACUUUUUCUUGAAAUAGAGAACACAAAAGAAUCAUUAGGAAAGGUAUGAUGAGUAUUAGGGGCACGUCAGGUCCGUACUUAGGAGUUUGUUCAAGGAGUGAUUCGAGUCAACCUUCCUUUGUUGCCUGGCAUAUGCUGGCUAUCAUAGGGACCACAAAAAUGUGGAAGAUGUAGAUGCUGUCCUCAAACUGUGUUGAGUCCAGCUGGGGAGAGAUAAGAUUGGAAUCUAUAUACAGAUAGUCCAAUAAGGCAAGCUAGGUCCAGUGGUGAAACUGAUAGGGUUUCACCAGCUGAGGCCCCCAAGGGUGAGAGAAUGUCAAAGAAGACUUCCUGGAGGAGGCAAGUUAAAGGAAAUUAAUGGGUUGGGCAGGUGGGCAGCUUCCUGAUACACUAAUCAGAGGAACACUGAAACCACAGGGAUCCAUCAGAAAUCUGCCGCCUGUUAACUCAGGUUUCCACCUGCAGAUUCUCACGUAGCUGGUGGAAAUGAAACUGACGUCCCUUUUGCCAAAAUAGACAAUGCCCCUAAGUAGAAAGAAAAGUUACUCCUCCCCAGCACCAGCCUACCUCUGUGUGGGUAUUUCUGCAAUGUGCAUUGCAAGUUGCUGCAUCCACUGGCCAGCCUGGCUGUGAGAUCAGCCAGCUGGCUGCCCCGGCAGUGGACAUGGCUGGGCCAAGAAGAUAUCUGCAAGCCUUAAAAAAUAUCUCCUAAAAAGUUGUCCACCUGUAGUCCCAGCUACUGGGGAGGCUGAGAUUGGAGGAUUGCUUGAGCCUACAAGUUUGAGGCUGUGGUGAGCUAUGAUUGCAUCACUGCACACCAGCCUGGGCAAGCAAGUGAGACACUGUCGCUGUAACCGCAAACGC